UACGAAGGGGGCUAGCGUUGCUCGGAAUCACUGGGCGUAAAGCGCACGUAGGCGGAUCUUUAAGUCAGGGGUGAAAUCCUGGAGCUCAACUCCAGAACUGCCUUUGAUACUGGGGAUCUCGAGUCCGGAAGAGGUGAGUGGAACUCCGAGUGUAGAGGUGAAAUUCGUAGAUAUUCGGAAGAACACCGGUGGCGAAGGCGGGAUCCUGGGCCAGUACUGACGCUGAGGAGCGAAAGCGUGGGGAGCAAACAGG
This 253-nucleotide ribosomal RNA is filed under the name uncultured bacterium. Its description in RNAcentral is "partial 16S ribosomal RNA". It matches the Rfam family "Bacterial small subunit ribosomal RNA", at positions 524 to 776 of the family's 1533-position model. The record is from RNAcentral.